GUUUCUGCUCUGAGAUUGGGUGAAUUUCUCAUAGAGUGCAAGCUGUCAGAGCGCGUCCAUCUAAGUCAAUAGAGGGACCCAUAGGCUACAAGCAGAGAUGAUGCAGGGUAUGCCAUACAGGAUUUGCAGACUGGGUAUAUCCUACUCCUGAACCAUUCUAUGGACUUGCUUCUCCAGUGAGACUAAAAGGUCACACAAGUUAAGACAGCUUGGUUCGAUUACAACCUCAUCUUAGAGGUCCCUCAGGUGACAGAAGAACAUAUUUACCUGUGCAUGUGGGAUCUCAUUUGACACCCAUAGGAAAGCAGAAGCAAAGUCCCCUGAACAUAACUGGAUUCUUCCCACUGUCCUUAGGGAGGUUUUGUUCCUUCUUAAGAUGUACGUGUGAUUCACAAGAUGAAUCACAGAUGUAGGGGAUAAUAAUCUAAACUAGUAGAUUCUCUCACCAGCUGAUGAUAUUCCAUGUUUGAGUUUUUUGCAUCUGACAAUUAUGUCUUUAGUGAAACAUUUCACAGGAGUGGAGACGAACAGGCAUCCAGUGCCUCUGCUGUUCAUAUGUCUCUUUUUCGCUCCUGUGUAUGGGAUUGUUAUAAGAAUCUGGAAGACUCCAGGUAUCUUUUAGCCAAAUGACCUGUGGUAUCACGUUCAUGAGCUUGUACUUUAGAUCAGAUAAUAGGGAAGUUUUUCAAAUCAGCACAUUAGUCAUAUGUUGUCUUACCACCACUGGAACGUGUAAAACUUACUCAAAGAUGGGGCCCCAGGCAGAUGCUGUGUGAACAGACCCUACUGAAUCCAACCACAUGAAUCAAGUCCUCUAUGCUGGGGGUAUGCUGAAGCGCAUCGAUGAGCUUGGUGCAUACUAACAUUGAAAAAUAAAAUGCACAUACAACCCAUGGGGGAAUUUCUGUUCUAGUUUAGAGUGCCAGGAGCUUGGAAAUACAUUUUCGGUCUAACUUCUGGUUUAUCCCUAUCAUUGGGGCAUGUUUGACCACAUAUGACACCACAGCAGAAUCACAGAAUGCAGGGCUAGGAGAGACUUUCUGGCCCAUCUGUCACAAAGACUAGGAGAUUGAAACCCCUCCUGACAUGUAUGUCUAAUCCAGUCUUCAAAACUGCCUACAAUAAUAGCAAUUCCAGAGUCUCUGCAGAGAGAUCUGACAUCCAGAAUUACUGCCUCAUGUUUCACCAGAUUUCCCAUGCUACAGCUCAAGUUCAUGACUUCUGCUGUCCCCACAGACAAGUUCAUUCCUUUCCUCUUCUCAGCAGCCUUUCAAGUAGCUUGAAGACCUAACCAUGUUUCAUCUCAGUCUUCUCUCAUUUGUAGAUGGACCACUGGAUUCGAGGAUCUUUUUCCCACCGUAAUUAUUCUAUUCUAUGAAUCUGUAUUUGCAUGCAUACAGAACCCGAUGAAAGUGGCUUAUCAAGAUGAUGUGCUAGCUUAGACUGAACACUGAAAUAGGCUUUUUCCAACUGAAAACCUAAUGAGCUAGUAAAUGGAAAGGAUUUGAGUAAAUACAGUAAUGGCUAUCUUGCAUUUGUAAUUUGAUGUUAACCUUGUGAUAUGUUUCUUUUUGUGAUAUUAAGAUUAUGCUUCCUCUUCCUUUUCAAGCAAAUUUUGCCCUACUUCUCAUUUAAUGAACAGAUGUGAAAGUUUACUGUACUGUUUUUCAGGUGAUCAGAAAUAAUGUCCUGCUAGAAAAGGUAAUUAUUGUUGGAACUAACCAGACCUACCUACAUCACCCAAGCUUACAGAUCAAGGUUUGAAAAAUACAUUUGCCUCAAGUGCUGGGACCAGCACAUGUAUGUAUGUAACCAAGUUGCCAGGCAAGAAUUCUGCCCACCCUUUUGAAAGCAAAGAUUACAUGUGCAAAAAAAGAGAAAAUAAGAGUAAGCUGGGUGAAAAAAAAAAAAGAAAAAUAAUUGAGUACUAGGGAAAAAUCACACUGGAAAUGCUGCAAGGAUUUAACUGUGAAGACCAUUACAGUAACCUCUUAAAGGGAAUGUUAAGUCUCCAUCUCUUUAUAUUUUCUGAUUAAGAUUUUAUGUAUUGCUGGAAGGGAUUAUUUAAAUCAGCAUAAGAUAUAAUCCCUAAGCUUCAUAUAUCUCUUCAUCACUGCCUUUUUCAUGGUCACUGUUCUUGCAGCCAGUGGGAUGAGUCCUGUGGGAUGCUGAGCCUCCUGGUCUCAUAUGAGCAGGACUCUUAGCACUGCAGGCACAAGUGCUCCCAGCAAGGUUCGUUUGCACAUACCUACAACUCACCACGUUCUAAAAUCUCUUGCAGGAUCAAGGCCAAGAGGUUCACACUUUGGCAAGGUUCUUUCAGUUCAUUUAAAAAAAAAAAAAAAAAAAAGAAAGAAAACUCCAAUCUGGAUGAGAUUAAGGAAUCAGAGUUUUGUCCAGGGCAGGCCACUACUCAUUUGCAGUAGUGCAGUAAACUGGCUUUGCAUGUCUGAAAGAGUGAGCAAUCUCACACACUGGUUUGUGGCCAAAAGAGAAAAUGGGAUGAGCCAAGGAAGAGCCUUAUCUUUAUUAUCUUCCUUUUAUCCUGGGGCUACAGGGAGCCCAGGUCUUUGGCCAUUUUCCAUUUUCCACACUGUGAGAAUCCUCCCUCUCUACGAGCACAGAGAGGCAGUUGAAGCCAUGCCGUCAGUACAGGGGUCAGGCAACAACGUCAGGAGCAUUUCAACAACCUGCCACCAUCAAUCUGAGCUUCUCUUCCAACACAAUAUCAAUGGGAACCAUAUUCCCACCCGUGAAGAACUUGGAGCACAGAUCCUGCCUUAUUUCAGUGCUCUGUCUCCCCUAGAGACUGCUGGCAAGCCAGCCAUUCCCCUUUGGAAUGAACAUUUGGAGCAUCCAACCUCAGUGCAGAAUCAAAGUGUGUUGGACUAGAUGGCCUUUAUUGGCCCCAACUCAAAUGAUUCUAUGAUUCUACGUCUGUGAUGAGCCCCUCUCUUCAUUAGGGCUAUGUCUUAUCUCUAUGAGGAAUAAGAGGGAAAGGAAGAAAUUGGAAGCACAAGUUUCACAAGGCAAUGGCUCAGAAUGGACCAAGCAUGCCAGGAUGCUGUGGCACUCUAUCAAAAUGUGCCCAGGAUGAGGCAAAUCAGUGGAUAAAUGGUGGGAGGGCAUUUUCCUUGCCAGGACCAAAGGAUGCUACAUACAAAGAUGGGAUGCCUCCAAGACAUACAGGAGUGAGGCUGUCAGCAGCACCCACAGAAGAUGCCACCAAGGAGAAUCACAAGCUGUCCUUCAAAUGCCCUGGACUUUAACAGGAUUUAAAGGGUGGGAUUAAUUAUAGCUACAGGCUACAAUUAGGCAGGCUUGUAGUCAGAGCUAUUUAUCUGUGUUUUCUCUACAGUCAGUUGGGAAUGAGACGUCUCCAGAGGACACUCCAUCCCCACAAAGAAUGAGCUGUCCUUAAGAGCUCUCUCUGUGGAAUUAAGGUCUGCUGAACCUCAGCUAACUUGAUGUCCCAUUGUGGACUUUGACACAGUUCAAAGGUGCAAAAGUUGAACCUACACUUGCAUAUGAAAGAUGGAGACCAUGCUGGGCAUGAGAUCGGCCAGAGCAAGUGCAAGCCCCAGCAUUUCUAGCACUGGUCACAGUCAUAGAGACUGCCCACGAGGCUCCCAGAAGGAGGAAUAAUAUCAGCAGAAGGAGCAUGGAGUGCUUUACGAUGACCAUGAAUUUAGCAAGGAAUAAACACUGCCACACUGCCUUGUCCAGCAGGAAAGCAGAAGACAUAGAAUCCUAGCUAUGCCUCCUGCAGUCUGCACUACUGCCAGACAUCAAAGAGAUGCUGGUUACUAGAAACAUGCUCCAUAUCAAAGAGGUUCUGCUGAAGGCUCCCAAAGCACACAAUUCCAUUGAUAUGGACUGACAGAAGUAAUCUACAGUGCUUGUAGGAUUGCAGCCUCCUGUGGGAUGAGCCCAGAGAGGUGGAGGUGGCAGCCAGGGAUCUGGGGGCGAAGAUGGAAAUAGUGAAGGGGUCCCCUUGUACCCUUUCUCUGCCAGCCACACAUAGCCAGCAUUAAACAGGGCAGGAGGAACAAGGACAGGAGAAAAUUCAAGCAGAGAAUGGAGAACCAUGGAGCUGAAAAAUAAACAGGUUGUUCAAGAUUAAGAGCAGUCCCAGCAGCGGGUGUGGAAACGAGACAGCACUGGCUGGGAAAGAGCAGAACAAGUGGGGAUGUGCAUCACUGGAAAAAUGACAGUGAAGAGAUUAUCAAAACUCAGCAGCUGCUCAUUUUUGAAACAGAAUCCUAAAGCAAACAUUUUAUUUCUGCUGCAUCAGGCAGGCUUUAAGCGGUUUAAAAAGACUUGCUAUGGCAGGACUAUAUUUAACCAAGAACACAUACAAAUGAGAUGCAUAUAAACAUGCAGUGUGGACUACCUUUACUCAACGUAUGCCAAAUGAAAUGUAGAAAACAAGAAAGGAAGUGAAAUCUCUUAAUAGGUUCCAUAAAACCUCUUGUAUUGUCUUUUCAAUCUCAAUCAGCAUCAAGAAGGAAGGAGCAGAAAGUGUUCUUGGAUACCCAGCGCUGAAAAAUACCUCACUGUUCAAAAAUCUUAGCUUUUAUCUGCUCCAAUUUUGUUUUGCUCGCCUUGAAAAAUAUGGGUUUAAUAUUCAUGAUGGAUUUAAGCUUCAUGAAAAUAAAAUACCUAACACAUUGCCAAUAAAGAGUUUAGUUUCCCAGAAGAAUGAAAUCUA
Molecule: non-coding RNA, 4711 nt
Organism: Coturnix japonica (Japanese quail)
Lineage: Eukaryota; Metazoa; Chordata; Aves; Galliformes; Phasianidae
Source: RefSeq, a predicted model, not a curated record